CCUACGGGGGGCUGCAGUGGGGAAUAUUGGACAAUGGGCGAAAGCCUGAUCCAGCCAUGCCGCGUGUGUGAAGAAGGCCUUCGGGUUGUAAAGCACUUUCAGUGGGGAAGAAAGCCUUGGGGCUAAUACCCUCGAGGAAGGACAUCACCCACAGAAGAAGCACCGGCUAACUCCGUGCCAAGCAGCCGCGGUAAUACGGAGGGUGCGAGCGUUAAUCGGAAUUACUGGGCGUAAAGCGCGCGUAGGCGGUCUGAUAAGCCGGUUGUGAAAGCCCCGGGCUCAACCUGGGAACGGCAUCCGGAACUGUCAGGCUAGAGUGCAGGAGAGGAAGGUAGAAUUCCCGGUGUAGCGGUGAAAUGCGCAGAGAUCGGGAGGAAUACCAGUGGCGAAGGCGGCCUUCUGGACUGACACUGACGCUGAGGUGCGAAAGCGUGGGUAGCAAACAGGAUUAGAUACCCUUGUAGUC
Molecule: ribosomal RNA, 466 nt
Filed under: Vreelandella stevensii
Lineage: Bacteria; Pseudomonadati; Pseudomonadota; Gammaproteobacteria; Oceanospirillales; Halomonadaceae
Description: partial 16S ribosomal RNA
Rfam family: Bacterial small subunit ribosomal RNA
Source: RNAcentral